GAUGAACGCUGGCGGCGUGCCUAAUACAUGCCAGUCGAGCGAACGGACGAGAAGCUUGCUUCUCUGAUGUUAGCGGCGGACGGGAGAGUAACACAUGGAUAACCUACCUAUAAGACUUGGAUAACUUCGGGAAACCGGAGCUAAUACCGGAUGAUAUUUUGAACCGCAUGGUUCAAAAGUGAAAGACGGUCUUGCUGUCACUUAUAGAUGGAUCCGCGCUGCAUUAGCUAGUUGGUAAGGUAACGGCUUACCAAGGCAACAAUGGAUAUCCGACCUGAGAGGGUGGUCGGCCACCCGGGAACUGAGACACGGCACCGACUCCUAAGGGAGGCAGCAGUAGGGAAUCUUACGCAAUGGGGGAAAGCCUGACGGAGCAACGCCGGGGGAGUGAUGACGGUCUUCUGAUCGUAAAACUCUGUUAUUAGGGAAGAACAUAUGUUUAAGUAACUGUGCACAUCUUGACGGUACCUAAGCAGAAAGCCACGGCUAACUACGUG
This 497-nucleotide ribosomal RNA is filed under the name uncultured bacterium. Its description in RNAcentral is "partial 16S ribosomal RNA". It matches the Rfam family "Bacterial small subunit ribosomal RNA", at positions 28 to 507 of the family's 1533-position model. The record is from RNAcentral.